AGACUGGGAUAACUCCGGGAAACCGGGGCUAAUACCGGAUAAUAUUUUGAACUGCAUGGUUCGAAAUUGAAAGGCGGCUUCGGCUGUCACUUCUGGAUGGACCCGCGUCGCAUUAGCUAGUUGGUGAGGUAACGGCUCACCAAGGCAACGAUGCGUAGCCGACCUGAGAGGGUGAUCGGCCACACUGGGACUGAGACACGGCCCAGACUCCUACGGGAGGCAGCAGUAGGGAAUCUUCCGCAAUGGACGAAAGUCUGACGGAGCAACGCCGCGUGAGUGAUGAAGGCUUUCGGGUCGUAAAACUCUGUUGUUAGGGAAGAACAAGUGCUAGUUGAAUAAGCUGGCACCUUGACGGUACCUAACCAGAAAGCCACGGCUAACUACGUGCCAGCAGCCGCGGUAAUACGUAGGUGGCAAGCGUUAUCCGGAAUUAUUGGGCGUAAAGCGCGCGCAGGUGGUUUCUUAAGUCUGAUGUGAAAGCCCACGGCUCAMCCGUGGAGGGUCAUUGGAAACUGGGARACUUGAGUGCA
RNAcentral lists this ribosomal RNA (530 nucleotides) under Bacillus sp. (in: firmicutes). RNAcentral's name for it is "bacterial SSU rRNA". It matches the Rfam family "Bacterial small subunit ribosomal RNA", at positions 135 to 650 of the family's 1533-position model. The record is from RNAcentral. Lineage: Bacteria; Bacillati; Bacillota; Bacilli; Caryophanales; Bacillaceae.